Molecule: long non-coding RNA, 898 nt
Filed under: Vulpes vulpes (red fox)
Lineage: Eukaryota; Metazoa; Chordata; Mammalia; Carnivora; Canidae
Description: lncRNA (ENSVVUG00000029009.1)
Source: RNAcentral
CAUUCUAUUUAGGUUCUGAUUUAAUUGGUCUGGAGUGUUGGCUUGGCAUUAAAAAAUUUUUUAACUCCCCAGGCAAUUCUAAUCAGCAGCCACAGCUGAGAACCACUGCUCCAUUAGGUGUAAACCCUGCACCACCUCUAUGGUCAGAUUGGGAUGGAUAGAAGAAAGUGCACCAUGAAGAGGGGAAUGGGAAGCACAAAGUCAGGCAUUGUAAUUUGAAAGAGAUCUAGAGAAACCUUAAUUUUGUUACCUACAGAAGAGAAUUGGGAAUCAAAGUCACAGAACUGAAGCAGAGGAGACAGUUGCAGAGUAGACAUUUCGUCUCCAUUUGAUGUCUAGAAGAACUAAAAAUCGGAUGUGGUUUUCCUCAGGAAAGACAAAGGAAGAAAUGAAUGAGGUAUUUCCAACCGCUACCUCAAGACUCCAAAAUAAAGGAUUCUGCUGAUGAACUGAAAUGUAGCUCGUUUUUAAAUACAAAAGAGUGGUGCUUCUCAUCUCAUGAAGGUCUGCCAAGGCAUCUCUGCUUCAGGCUACAGGAUCAGUUCUGGCAUAUUACACAUAUCUCAUUCUGGGAAUAGCAGCUCCUCAAGGGCAUGCUCUUUGCAUGGCAGAGAGAGAACUCUUCAAAGGGAUUGCCACAUUCUUUGCCAUGCCAUUGAUGGCCUUAGCUUAACUGGCAUACUAUUAUUUUCACCCACAUUUAACUGGUGAAAGAAAGUCAGAUGGCCAAGUCCAGCAUGAGAGAAGUAUACUCCACCCCAUGGAAGCCAUGACAAUGAUUGACAGGUAAGGACAAAUUGUGAACAAAUAAUAUAAUCUACUGCACCAACCCCCUAUUCAACAUCUUCCAAAAAACAUCUCAAAUAAAAAUCUCCCAACUUCUGAUGGAAAAAAUUGA